GACGAACGCUGGCGGCGUGCUUAACACAUGCAAGUCGAACGGAAAGGCCCUGCUUUUGUGGGGUGCUCGAGUGGCGAACGGGUGAGUAACACGUGAGUAACCUGCCCUUGACUUUGGGAUAACUUCAGGAAACUGGGGCUAAUACCGGAUAGGAGCUCCUGCUGCAUGGUGGGGGUUGGAAAGUUUCGGCGGUUGGGGAUGGACUCGCGGCUUAUCAGCUUGUUGGUGGGGUAGUGGCUUACCAAGGCUUUGACGGGUAGCCGGCCUGAGAGGGUGACCGGCCACAUUGGGACUGAGAUACGGCCUAGACUCCUACGGGAGGCAGCAGUGGGGAAUAUUGCACAAUGGGCGGAAGCCUGAUGCAGCAACGCCGCAUGCGGGAUGACGGCCUUCGGGUUGUAAAACGCUUUCGCCUGUGACGAAGCGUGAGUGACGGUAAUGGGUAAAGAAGCACCGGCUAACUACGUG
RNAcentral lists this ribosomal RNA (468 nucleotides) under uncultured bacterium. RNAcentral's name for it is "partial 16S ribosomal RNA". It matches the Rfam family "Bacterial small subunit ribosomal RNA", at positions 28 to 507 of the family's 1533-position model. The record is from RNAcentral.